Molecule: small RNA, 28 nt
Filed under: Bombyx mori (domestic silkworm)
Lineage: Eukaryota; Metazoa; Arthropoda; Insecta; Lepidoptera; Bombycidae
Description: ovarian small RNA-7104
Source: RNAcentral
UCAUUACUUUGGGGUCACUACACUUCAC